This is a long non-coding RNA of Pongo pygmaeus (Bornean orangutan), 561 nucleotides long. RefSeq annotates it as DIP2C antisense RNA 1. Lineage: Eukaryota; Metazoa; Chordata; Mammalia; Primates; Hominidae. The record is from RefSeq and is a predicted model, not a curated record. The transcript has 3 exons.
AUGGAGUCCUCUUGUUGGGACAAGGACCCCCCAGGAGAGAGGAGCCCCCAGCAGAGUCAACGCUGGAGGGCCAGGUACCAUGGUGCCCGGGGCUGUGGACCACACCAGCCCACAGCCACCGCAAGCCCCAGACCAGGGCUGUGGAUCACGCCAGCCCACGGCAGCUGCAUGCCCCAGACCAACACGAGAAGAACGCAGGCUGACAACAUCUUUAUCUACGCUCUCGCCACACUCAGUCAAUGUCCAAUGGGGGCCUCGGGGGCACCUCCACCUGCCCAGGUCUGGGACCACCAUCCUCCACGCGUAUCUACAGACCCUGUCCUCACCUGCAUCACCAACGAUGGCGUCACGGCGUGGGUUCCGGUCACCAGUCGGCCUCCCCCACCAACAUGUACUCCUUACAAUCAGGGCCACCACCGUGGACACGAUCCCAUCAGGAACCACCUACUUUUGCAUCCCCAGCACCGUGCUCAGGUCCCAGGGAGGCCCCAGCAAACUGUGGAACAACCAAACUUGUGACUGAAUGAACAAGUAUGUUAAGUUGUUAAGUAGAAAAUAGCA